This 179-nucleotide ribosomal RNA is filed under the name uncultured bacterium. RNAcentral's name for it is "partial 16S ribosomal RNA". It matches the Rfam family "Bacterial small subunit ribosomal RNA", at positions 1320 to 1500 of the family's 1533-position model. The record is from RNAcentral.
AUGAAGCCGGAAUUGCUAGUAAUGGCAGGUCAGCAUACUGCCGUGAAUACGUUCCCGGGCCUUGUACACACCGCCCGUCACACCAUGAGAGUUGGGAAUACCCGAAGCCUGUGAGCUAACGUAAGAGGCAGCAGUCGAAGGUAGAAUCAAUGAUUGGGGUGAAGUCGUAACAAGGUACC